This 37-nucleotide ribosomal RNA is filed under the name Capsicum baccatum. RNAcentral describes it as "partial 28S ribosomal RNA". Lineage: Eukaryota; Viridiplantae; Streptophyta; Magnoliopsida; Solanales; Solanaceae. The record is from RNAcentral.
GCGACCCCAGGUCAGACGGGAUUACCCGCUGAGUUUA